GACGAACGCUGGCGGCGUGCUUAACACAUGCAAGUCGAACGGAAAGGCCCUGCUUUUGUGGGGUGCUCGAGUGGCGAACGGGUGAGUAACACGUGAGUAACCUGCCCUUGACUUUGGGAUAACUUCAGGAAACUGGGGCUAAUACCGGAUAGGAGCUCCUGCUGCAUGGUGGGGGUUGGAAAGUUUCGGCGGUUGGGGAUGGACUCGCGGCUUAUCAACUUGUUGGUGGGGUAGUGGCUUACCAAGGCUUUGACGGGUAGCCGGCCUGAGAGGGUGACCGGCCACAUUGGGACUGAGAUACGGCCCAGACUCCUACGGGAGGCAGCAGUGGGGAAUAUUGCACAAUGGGCGGAAGCCUGAUGCAGCAACGCCGCGUGCGGGAUGACGGCCUUCGGGUUGUAAACCGCUUUCGCCUGUGACGAAGCGUGAGUGACGGUAAUGGGUAAAGAAACACCGGCUAACUACGU
RNAcentral lists this ribosomal RNA (467 nucleotides) under uncultured bacterium. RNAcentral's name for it is "partial 16S ribosomal RNA". It matches the Rfam family "Bacterial small subunit ribosomal RNA", at positions 28 to 506 of the family's 1533-position model. The record is from RNAcentral.